RNAcentral lists this long non-coding RNA (384 nucleotides) under Physcomitrium patens. Its description in RNAcentral is "long non-coding RNA (PPAT_LNC009729)". Lineage: Eukaryota; Viridiplantae; Streptophyta; Bryopsida; Funariales; Funariaceae. The record is from RNAcentral.
GUUCAUUCAUUAGUUAUUGACGUUUAAAUUUGCAAUUGGAAUUACAUGGGAUUGGUUAGGAUUCGGUUUAGGAUUUGAUUUAGGAUUAGGAUUUGGUUUAGGACUUGAUUUAAGAUUAGAAUUAGGAUUUUGGAUUGAUUUAAGAUUUGAUUGGAAUUAAGAGUUUUUUAGAAUUUGAUUAGGAUUUGACUAAGAUUUAAUUAAGACUUAUUUAGGAUUUCAUUAGAAUUUGGUUAGAAUUAAGAUUUGGUUAGGUUUUAGGAUUUAGUUAAGAUUAGGAUUUGAUUAGGAUUAGGAUUUGAUUAGGAUUAGGAUUUGAUUAAGAAUAGGAUUUGGUUUGAUUUAGGAUUUGGUUUGGAUUUCUUUAGGAUUUCUUUAGGAUUU